RNAcentral lists this ribosomal RNA (461 nucleotides) under uncultured bacterium. RNAcentral's name for it is "partial 16S ribosomal RNA". It matches the Rfam family "Bacterial small subunit ribosomal RNA", at positions 28 to 506 of the family's 1533-position model. The record is from RNAcentral.
GACGAACGCUGGCGGCGUGCUUAACACAUGCAAGUCGAACGGAAAGGCCCUUCGGGGUCCUCGAGUGGCGAACGGGUGAGUAACACGUGGGUGAUCUGCCCUGCACUUUGGGAUAAGCCUGGGAAACUGGGUCUAAUACCGAAUAGGACCACGCGCUUCAUGGUGUGUGGUGGAAAGCUUUUGCGGUGUGGGAUGGGCCCGCGGCCUAUCAGCUUGUUGGUGGGGUAAUGGCCUACCAAGGCGACGACGGGUAGCCGGCCUGAGAGGGUGACCGGCCACACUGGGACUGAGAUACGGCCCAGACUCCUACGGGAGGCAGCAGUGGGGAAUAUUGCACAAUGGGCGCAAGCCUGAUGCAGCGACGCCGCGUGAGGGAUGACGGCCUUCGGGUGGUAAACCUCUUUCAAUAGGGACGAAGCGCAAGUGACGGUACCUAUAGAAGAAGCACCGGCCAACUACGU